Molecule: ribosomal RNA, 774 nt
Filed under: uncultured Neocallimastigales
Lineage: Eukaryota; Fungi; Neocallimastigomycota; Neocallimastigomycetes; Neocallimastigales
Description: partial large subunit ribosomal RNA
Rfam family: Eukaryotic large subunit ribosomal RNA
Source: RNAcentral
CGCAUCUGUGCAUGCAGCAUAUCAAUAGCGGAGGAAAAGAAACUAACAAGGAUUCCCCUAGUAACGGCGAGUGAAGCGGGAAGAGCUCAAAUUUGAAAUCUUAAAGGGUUUCCCUUUACGAAUUGUAGUUUAAAGAAGUGUUUUCUGUUGAGGUUUUGGUAAAAGUUCUUUGGAAUAGGACAUCAUAGAGGGUGAGAAUCCCGUAUUUGACCUUUACUUUCAACUUUGUGAUACACUUUCAAAGAGUCGGAUUGUUUGGGAAUGCAGUCCAAAAUGGGUGGUAAAUUUCAUCUAAAGCUAAAUAUUGGCGAGAGACCGAUAGCGAACAAGUACCGUGAGGGAAAGAUGAAAAGGAACUUUGAAAAGAGAGUUAAACAGUACGUGAAAUUGUCAAAAGGGAAGCGUUUGACACCAGUGUUGUUUUUCUGAAAAUCAAUUAAAGAACUGUUUAUGCUAAGCUGUUUAGACUUUAUCAGCUAACUGUUUAGUUUUGAGCUUUUCUUUAAUGCACUUUUCAGUUAACAAGUCAACAUCAAUUUCUUUUGCUGUAAAAAAGCUUGAGGAAGGUGGCUUGAGAUUCGUCUUAAGUGUUUAUAGCCUCUUGCCUAUGCAGUCGGAGAGAUUGAGGUCUGCAGCGUAGAUCCUUCGGGGCUAAAUGCAUUUGUGCUAAGUUAUAGCAUUUUAUAGACAACUUGUUGACUAUGAUUUGUCUUGUAGCUUACUCGCUUAUGUUAUUUUACCUACGCUUAGGAUGUUGACAGCAGUAUAGACUGU